RNAcentral lists this non-coding RNA (32 nucleotides) under Rattus norvegicus (Norway rat). Lineage: Eukaryota; Metazoa; Chordata; Mammalia; Rodentia; Muridae. The record is from RNAcentral.
UGCAAACAUUCGGUUGACAAAUUAAUAGGAGC